AGUGAACGCUGGCGGUAGACCUAACACAUGCAAGUCGAACGGCAGCACAGUAAGAGCUUGCUCUUACGGGUGGCGAGUGGCGGACGGGUGCGGAAUACAUCGGAAUCUACUUUUUCGUGGGGGAUAACGUAGGGAAACUUACGCUAAUACCGCAUACGACCUACGGGUGAAAGCAGGGGAUCUUCGGACCUUGCGCGAUUGAAUGAGCCGAUGUCGGAUUAGCUAGUUGGCGGGGUAAAGGCCCACCAAGGCGACGAUCCGUAGCUGGUCUGAGAGGAUGAUCAGCCACACUGGAACUGAGACACGGUCCAGACUCCUACGGGAGGCAGCAGUGGGGAAUAUUGGACAAUGGGCGCAAGCCUGAUCCAGCCAUACCGCGUGGGUGAAGAAGGCCUUCGGGUUGUAAAGCCCUUUUGUUGGGAAAGAAAAGCAGCAGGUUAAUACCCCGCUGUUCUGACGGUACCCAAAGAAUAAGCACCGGCUAACUUCGUG
Molecule: ribosomal RNA, 492 nt
Filed under: uncultured bacterium
Lineage: Bacteria
Description: partial 16S ribosomal RNA
Rfam family: Bacterial small subunit ribosomal RNA
Source: RNAcentral